This is a non-coding RNA of Saimiri boliviensis boliviensis (Bolivian squirrel monkey), 876 nucleotides long. Lineage: Eukaryota; Metazoa; Chordata; Mammalia; Primates; Cebidae. The record is from RefSeq and is a predicted model, not a curated record.
GCAGGAAAGUGAACAAGUGCUACCGGGGCCGCUCCUGCCCCAUCAUCGUGCACUGCAGUGAUGGUGCAGGGAGGACUGGCACCUACAUCCUCAUCGACAUGGUCCUGAACCGCAUGGCAAAAGGAGUGAAGGAGAUCGACAUCGCUGCCACCCUGGAGCAUGUCCGUGACCAACGGCCUGGCCUUGUCCGCUCUAAGGACCAGUUUGAAUUUGCCCUGACAGCCGUGGCAGAGGAGGUGAAUGCCAUCCUUAAGGCCCUGCCCCAGUGAGACCCUGGGGACCCUUGGUGGGCAGCCCAGCCUUUGUCCUUCUUUGCCUGUGUGAGCAUCUCUGUGUACCCACUCCUCACUGCCCUACCGGCCACCUGUUGGGCAUGCCCAGCCCUUCCUGGAAGAGUCAGGAAGGGGAAGCCAGAAGGGGCACACCUGCCCAGCCUCACGCAUGCGGGAGCCCGGGGCAUCCCAGAGCCCAGGGCGUCCCAUGGGGGCUCUGCUGCCAGGAGGAGAGGAAAGGACGUGGGCAGCAAUUCUACCCAGAGCCUUCUCCUGCCUAUGUUCCCUGGCUUGGCUCUCCCAUGGCUCUCCCAUGGUUCUGGGAGCUCUCCCCAUGUCUGUGUGUGCCCCACUAUGCUCCAGCGUGGAAGAACGGGGUGGAGGGUCACCACACCCGGCUCCCCCUGCUUCUCAGCCCCGGGCCUGCCUCCUUGACUCACACUUGGGCGUUCUGCCCUCCCUGCCCUCAUGCCCAGCCUCCUCCCACCGCUCUCCCACCAUGUGCUGCUCAACCUCUCUCCUUCUGGCGCAAGAGAACAUGUCUAGAAAAAUCUACUUUUGUACCAAUGUGAAUAAAGUUAGUGUGUUUUCUGUGCAGCUGCAA